GACGAACGCUGGCGGCGUGCUUAACACAUGCAAGUCGAACGGAAAGGCCCUGCUUUUGUGGGGUGCUCGAGUGGCGAACGGGUGAGUAACACGUGAGUAACAUGCCCUUGACUUUGGGAUAACUUCAGGAAACUGGGGCUAAUACCGGAUAGGAGCUCCUGCUGCAUGGGGGGGGUUGGAAAGUUUCGGCGGUUGGGGAUGGACUCGCGGCUUAUCAGCUUGUUGGUGGGGUAGUGGCUUACCAAGGCUUUGACGGGUAGGCGGCCUGGGAGGGUGACCGGCCACAUUGGGACUGCGAUACGGCCCAGACUCCUACGGGCGGCAGCAGUGGGGAAUAUUGCACAAUGGGCGGAAGCCUGAUGCGACAACGCCGCGUGCGGGAUGACGGCCUUCGGGUUGUAAACCGCUUUCGCCUGUGACGAAGCGUGAGUGACGGUAAUGGGUAAAGAAGCACCGGCUAACUACGUG
Molecule: ribosomal RNA, 468 nt
Filed under: uncultured bacterium
Lineage: Bacteria
Description: partial 16S ribosomal RNA
Rfam family: Bacterial small subunit ribosomal RNA
Source: RNAcentral